UAGGCUGAUAGCAAGGUGCCCGACGCUCAGGCUGCCCACGAAAAAACAAUCACGGGCUUGCUUCCGGCCCUGGCCGGAGCGAACUUGAUCUAUGGUC
RNAcentral lists this non-coding RNA (97 nucleotides) under marine sediment metagenome. RNAcentral's name for it is "Pyrrolysine insertion sequence mttB". It matches the Rfam family "Pyrrolysine insertion sequence mttB". The record is from RNAcentral. RNAcentral also lists the same sequence under 1 other name.